Molecule: ribosomal RNA, 443 nt
Rfam family: Eukaryotic large subunit ribosomal RNA (bases 303-443)
UGCAGAAUCCCGUGAACCAUCGAGUCUUUGAACGCAAGUUGCGCCCGAAGCCGUCAGGCCGAGGGCACGCCUGCCUGGGCGUCACACGCCGUUGCCCCUCCACGCCCCCAUCGGGAGCGUCGGGGGGCGGACGAUGGCCUCCCGUGCGUCACCCCGCGCGGUUGGCACAAAUGCCGGGUCCUCGGCGACGAACGCCACGACAAUCGGUGGUCGUCCGACCUCGGUUGCCCGUUGUGCGCCUUCGUCGCGCUACGAGCGGCUCGCGACGCUCGCUGCUCCGGCGAACCCUGGAGCUUUCGACGCGACCCCAGGUCAGGCGGGGUUACCCGCUGAAUUUAAGCAUAUCAAUAAGCGGAGGAAAAGAAACUUACGAGGAUUCCCCUAGUAACGGCGAGCGAACCGGGAGCAGCCCAGCUUGAGAAUCGGGCGCCGUCGGCGUUCGA